RNAcentral lists this ribosomal RNA (305 nucleotides) under uncultured Methylobacterium sp. RNAcentral's name for it is "bacterial SSU rRNA". It matches the Rfam family "Bacterial small subunit ribosomal RNA", at positions 11 to 343 of the family's 1533-position model. Lineage: Bacteria; Pseudomonadati; Pseudomonadota; Alphaproteobacteria; Hyphomicrobiales; Methylobacteriaceae. The record is from RNAcentral.
GUUUGAUCACUGGCUCAGAGCGAACGCUGGCGGCAGGCUUAACACAUGCAAGUCGAGCGGGCCCUUCGGGGUCAGCGGCAGACGGGUGAGUAACGCGUGGGAACGUGCCCUUCGGUUCGGAAUAACCCAGGGAAACUAGGGCUAAUACCGGAUACGCCCCUUGGGGGAAAGGUUUACUGCCGAAGGAUCGGCCCGCGUCUGAUUAGCUAGUUGGUGAGGUAACGGCUCACCAAGGCGACGAUCAGUAGCUGGUCUGAGAGGAUGAUCAGCCACACUGGGACUGAGACACGGCCCAGACUCCUACG